This 528-nucleotide ribosomal RNA is filed under the name fungal sp. Its description in RNAcentral is "eukaryotic LSU rRNA". The stretch from base 159 to 312 matches the Rfam family "5.8S ribosomal RNA". Lineage: Eukaryota; Fungi. The record is from RNAcentral.
GGGGGAGGUGCAACUCCACCAUUGUGACCUACCUCACCGUUGCUUCGGCAGGUGGCCCCCGCCGGGGCCGCGCCGGCCCCCCCGGGCCGGCAACCUGUCAGAGGACCGAAACGCUUAGUCAUCAUUGGCCUCUCUGAGUAACUUAUACAAUAAGUCAAAACUUUCAACAACGGAUCUCUUGGUUCUGGCAUCGAUGAAGAACGCAGCGAAAUGCGAUACGUAAUGUGAAUUGCAGAUUUCAGUGAAUCAUCGAAUCUUUGAACGCACAUUGCGCCCGCCAGUAUUCUGGCGGGCAUGCCUGUUCGAGCGUCAUUUCAACCAUCAAGCCCCCGGCUUGUGUUGGGGCCCUGCGGCUGCCGCAGGCCCCUAAAUCCAGUGGCGGGCUCGUCGUCGUACCGAGUGCAGUAAACAUCCUCGCUCAGGGCGCGCGUCGGGUUCUUGCCGUGAAACACCCCACAUAUCAAGGUUGACCUCGGAUCAGGUAGGAAUACCCGCUGAACUUAAGCAUAUCAAAAACCGGAGGAAAGA